This 337-nucleotide long non-coding RNA is filed under the name Glycine max (soybean). RNAcentral's name for it is "long non-coding RNA (GMAX_LNC001175)". The record is from RNAcentral. Lineage: Eukaryota; Viridiplantae; Streptophyta; Magnoliopsida; Fabales; Fabaceae.
UUGGUUUCUGUCGCUGCUCCUGGAUGCACCGUCUCUCUCCGUGUUGCCUCCGUUGACAAAAUCAGUAACCACACACCACUGUAGAUCAUGGCAGUCUUCCGGCGAGUUAUGAAAUUGGUCAGGGUUCACAAUCGCAAGCAGCGGGACAGGUCCCUUAUCUCCGCCGCCCUCUUCCCCACCAUCUUUGUCUCUUUCUUCGAAAUUUACUGCCAAAGCACUCUCAUCUGUGAUCGCCGACUUGUCAGAGCUCCAACGCAAACUUGGACCUUCUUCUUUCCUUUUGCUGGAAACGUUGCUUGCUAGCAGAUAGAUCAAUGAGAUAAAUGGUGUGACUCGU